Molecule: ribosomal RNA, 243 nt
Filed under: uncultured bacterium
Lineage: Bacteria
Description: partial 16S ribosomal RNA
Rfam family: Bacterial small subunit ribosomal RNA
Source: RNAcentral
CGGGACGGGGUGGAGGUAACGACGUGGGAGUAACCUACUCCACACUGGGGGAUAACAGUUAGAAAUGGCUGCUAAUACCGCAUAAGCGCACAGUACCGCAUGGUACGGUGUGAAAAACCCAAGGUGGUGUGAGAUGGAUCCGCGUCUGAUUAGCCAGUUGGCGGGGUAACGGCCCACCAAAGCGACGAUCAGUAGCCGACCUGAGAGGGUGACCGGCCACAUUGGGACUGAGACACGGCCCAA